UACGGAGGAUCCAAGCGUUAUCCGGAUUUAUUGGGUUUAAAGGGUGCGUAGGUGGCUUUGUAAGUCAGUGGUGAAAGUUUUCAGCUUAACUGGAAAAUUGCCAUUGAUACUGCAGGGCUUGAGUACAGAUGAGGUAGGCGGAAUGUGUCAUGUAGCGGUGAAAUGCAUAGAUAUGACACAGAACACCGAUUGCGAAGGCAGCUUACUAAACUGAUACUGACACUGAGGCACGAAAGCGUGGGGAUCAAACAGGAUUAGAUACCCUGGUAGUCCACGCCCUAAACGAUGAUCACUCGAUGUGUGCGAUAUACAGUACGCGUCCAAGCGAAAGCGUUAAGUGAUCCACCUGGGGAGUACGCCGGCAACGGUGAA
This 372-nucleotide ribosomal RNA is filed under the name uncultured bacterium. RNAcentral describes it as "bacterial SSU rRNA". It matches the Rfam family "Bacterial small subunit ribosomal RNA", at positions 524 to 898 of the family's 1533-position model. The record is from RNAcentral.